This 689-nucleotide ribosomal RNA is filed under the name Acinetobacter sp. EECC-425. RNAcentral describes it as "bacterial SSU rRNA". It matches the Rfam family "Bacterial small subunit ribosomal RNA", at positions 99 to 783 of the family's 1533-position model. The record is from RNAcentral. Lineage: Bacteria; Pseudomonadati; Pseudomonadota; Gammaproteobacteria; Moraxellales; Moraxellaceae.
CGGACGGGUGAGUAAUGCUUAGGAAUCUGCCUAUUAGUGGGGGACAACAUUCCGAAAGGAAUGCUAAUACCGCAUACGCCCUACGGGGGAAAGCAGGGGAUCUUCGGACCUUGCGCUAAUAGAUGAGCCUAAGUCAGAUUAGCUAGUUGGUGGGGUAAAGGCCUACCAAGGCGACGAUCUGUAGCGGGUCUGAGAGGAUGAUCCGCCACACUGGGACUGAGACACGGCCCAGACUCCUACGGGAGGCAGCAGUGGGGAAUAUUGGACAAUGGGCGCAAGCCUGAUCCAGCCAUGCCGCGUGUGUGAAGAAGGCCUUUUGGUUGUAAAGCACUUUAAGCGAGGAGGAGGCUACUUGGAUUAAUACUCUAGGAUAGUGGACGUUACUCGCAGAAUAAGCACCGGCUAACUCUGUGCCAGCAGCCGCGGUAAUACAGAGGGUGCGAGCGUUAAUCGGAUUUACUGGGCGUAAAGCGUGCGUAGGCGGCUUCUUAAGUCGGAUGUGAAAUCCCUGAGCUUAACUUAGGAAUUGCAUUCGAUACUGGGAAGCUAGAGUAUGGGAGAGGAUGGUAGAAUUCCAGGUGUAGCGGUGAAAUGCGUAGAGAUCUGGAGGAAUACCGAUGGCGAAGGCAGCCAUCUGGCCUAAUACUGACGCUGAGGUACGAAAGCAUGGGGAGCAAACAGGAUUAGAU